This 385-nucleotide long non-coding RNA is filed under the name Taeniopygia guttata (zebra finch). RNAcentral describes it as "lncRNA (ENSTGUG00000019690.1)". Lineage: Eukaryota; Metazoa; Chordata; Aves; Passeriformes; Estrildidae. The record is from RNAcentral.
AAGCCAAAAAAAUUCAUGAAUGCCAUAUACUCUAUAGCUCCAGUCUGGGGAGGGGAAGACCUGUGCCACAUCAGCCUGGCUGGACUAUCCCCUGGGACUCGUGGGAUUGUCUCCUACCAUAGAUCUCAAAUAGCACAUGGGCAGUCAUGCCUUAGUCAGAAGAACCAACUUAAGACUGACACUUUUCCAUCAUGUGAGUACUUCUUUACAUCUUCUGUCUCCACCACAUUUGGAGUUUUGCUGUCUUUACUCAAGAGAAAAUUUGCCUCACUCCACGUGUCCAAAAAGAAACAAGCAGAGUGAAGAAACAUAAACUGGUACAAAAAAAAUUUGAGUGUUUCUUAUUUUCAAAACAAAAUAUUUUGAUCUCUAGCUUUUUAUCUUU